Molecule: ribosomal RNA, 321 nt
Filed under: uncultured eukaryote
Lineage: Eukaryota
Description: partial 18S ribosomal RNA
Rfam family: Eukaryotic small subunit ribosomal RNA
Source: RNAcentral
CCCUUAGAUGUCCUGGGCCGCACGCGCGCUACACUGACAUGUUCAACAAGCCUCCUAGUUCGACAGGAUUUGGGAAAUCUUUGAACGCAUGUCGUGAUAGGGAUAGAUCAUUGCAAUUAUUGAUCUUGAACGAGGAAUUCCUAGUAAACGCGAGUCAUCAGCUCGCAUUGAUUACGUCCCUGCCCGUUGUACACACCGCCCGUCGCACCUACCGAUUGAAUGUUUCGGUGAAGAUUCCGGAUAGGACUUUUUUGAUUUAUUUCAAUUUUGUCUUAAAAGCUAUCUAAACCUCAACAUUUAGAGGAAGGUGAAGUCGUAACA